UACGGAGGGUGCAAGCGUUAUCCGGAUUCACUGGGCGUAAAGGGUGCGUAGGUGGGCAAGUAAGUCAGUGGUGAAAUCUCCGGGCUUAACCCGGAAACUGCCAUUGAUACUAUUUGUCUUGAAUACUGUGGAGGUCAGCGGAAUAUGUCAUGUAGCGGUGAAAUGCUUAGAUAUGACAUAGAACACCAAUUGCGAAGGCAGCUGGCUACACAAUUAUUGACACUGAGGCACGAAAGCGUGGGGAGCAAACAGG
This 253-nucleotide ribosomal RNA is filed under the name uncultured bacterium. Its description in RNAcentral is "partial 16S ribosomal RNA". It matches the Rfam family "Bacterial small subunit ribosomal RNA", at positions 524 to 776 of the family's 1533-position model. The record is from RNAcentral.